RNAcentral lists this long non-coding RNA (1702 nucleotides) under Rosa chinensis. RNAcentral describes it as "sRNA RchiOBHm_Chr1g0347371". Lineage: Eukaryota; Viridiplantae; Streptophyta; Magnoliopsida; Rosales; Rosaceae. The record is from RNAcentral.
UUUGUUAUUGGGCUUGAAUUUUUUUUUUUUUGAAGCCAAUUUUGGGCCUAGGCCUAUCUCAUCCAUUACGCAGUAUUCUGCAAGUUAUUAGCAUUGAGAAUAGAUGAAAAGAGUAAAAACUUGGGAGUGAUAAAACUCGACUGAUCAAUAGAGACAAGAAAUCCUGUAAUCCUGUACAUAUUGAUGUUUCACAGAAGUACAAAAUAUAUGGAGAGAUCAGUAAUUGCUUUCACUUCGGAACUCAUUGAAUUCUCUCCACCCUCUUGCCGAGUCCCACCUUGAAUUCCAACUAGGGGAUGCUUAACCUCUUCAUAUUUCUGUUUUUCCACAAGUGGCGCUUUUUCUUCACUCACUCAAAAGGAAAAGCAGUUCUCUCCACCCCUUGUCUUCAACUACUAGCCACCAACAGUUGAUUUCAGAUAUUUUCCUAAAACGGCGAAACUAAACUCUCCACAUACAUAGCUGGUUCCGGUGCCAAAUCAACAGGAGUCUCAAGAACAUUCACACAUGCCCCUCCAUUUGGACUAUACAGCACCAAGUAGUUCCCAUUAGAAUUCAUCAAAACUUCACCGUUCUCUAAAAUGCAUAUAGGAGUAGAAAAACUGUAACAAUAUCCAAUAGGAAGUUGAGGUAUUUCUGUGGGAAUUUGCAUAACUUUAGUCCAAGAUUCUCUCAUCACCCACAUUGUAAUUUCACUGCUGUUAUAGAUAUAUACAAAGAGACUAUUUUCAGCAAUCCCAAUCCGAGCAGAGAUAUAUUCCCGACUAAGAUAUGACAAUGGAAUCAACUCCUGAAAUGUCUCCUCUGCUAAAUCAAAACACAUGAUCCUUGCACUAAGUACCGGCCGAAUCGUCACCCCCGCGUCCCAUUUCAUCUCGACCCAAUGUAGAGCACCAUUUGAUAAGCACCCCUGCCCAUUCAAAUUAACAUAAUCGAGGCCAUCAAUAGUCCUCCAUGACCCUUUUUUGAGCUGAAACAUCACAACUGUGGUUGCAAGAGCACCAUUUCUUUCGCCUCUGCAGCCAAAUACAACCUUGUAGUCAUCAAUGGUGGAAUCAUAACCAAACCCAUAAAACAUUACGAUACCCACAUGAGAGUGACGAAUUUUCCAGUAAACAAAUCAAGCCAUUGCAAGAACCCACAAAUUUCAAAGCUCCAACAGGGAUAGGUAAAUCAAGGCUAGUGCUUGAGACGCUGCAAACGGCGUCGUUCAGUGCACUGAUGUCAAUGGACUGGAAAGGUGCGACUGAGAAAAGCAGCCUGCGGCGGCGGUUGAAGCGGCGGAGGUGCAUCGUAACCAAGUGAGAAUCGGAGAUCAAAGCACGCCAUGACUUGCAAACGCAGCGGAAUUGGAUUAGGGUUUUGACUGGGAGUCUUGAUAGUAUGUCGAUAAGAAGAUCAUCGGAUUCGAUGUGAGGUCGGCCGCCGGAGGGGACUAGUUGCUUGUUCUGGUGCCGGUGCCGGAGUCCGGUAGCCAUGUCUCUCAAAAUUCGUCCGAAAUUUGAAAGAUAAUUAAAAGUUUGAAACUUGAAUUAGGGAUUAGUCUUUGAAACUGGAAAGAGCAAUUGAAAACUUACUAGGUAGUUGCGAGCAUGACUGAAAGUCUGAAAGAACGACUGAACGAGCACAAGAAGUUUUGGGGAGCAAGAAAAGAAGGGCAGAGUUUUUUUUGUUUUUUUUUUUGUAUUUUUUUUGGUCUGAG